GGCGUGCCUAAUACAUGCAAGUAGAACGCUGAAGAGAGGAGCUUGCUCUUCUUGGAUGAGUUGCGAACGGGUGAGUAACGCGUAGGUAACCUGCCUUGUAGCGGGGGAUAACUAUUGGAAACGAUAGCUAAUACCGCAUAACAAUGGAUGACACAUGUCAUUUAUUUGAAAGGGGCAAUUGCUUCACUACAAGAUGGACCUGCGUUGUAUUAGCUAGUAGGUGAGGUAACGGCUCACCUAGGCGACGAUACAUAGCCGACCUGAGAGGGUGAUCGGCCACACUGGGACUGAGACACGGCCCAGACUCCUACGGGAGGCAGCAGUAGGGAAUCUUCGGCAAUGGGGGCAACCCUGACCGAGCAACGCCGCGUGAGUGAAGAAGGUUUUCGGAUCGUAAAGCUCUGUUGUAAGUCAAGAACGAGUGUGAGAGUGGAAAGUUCACACUGUGACGGUAGCUUACCAGAAAGGGACGGCUAACUACGUGCCAGCAGCCGCGGUAAUACGUAGGUCCCGAGCGUUGUCCGGAUUUAUUGGGCGUAAAGCGAGCGCAGGCGGUUUGAUAAGUCUGAAGUUAAAGGCUGUGGCUCAACCAUAGUUCGCUUUGGAAACUGUCAAACUUGAGUGCAGAAGGGGGGAGUGGAAUUCCAUGUGUAGCGGUGAAAUGCGUAGAUAUAUGGAGGAACACCGGUGGCGAAAGCGGCUCUCUGGUCUGUAACUGACGCUGAGGCUCGAAAGCGUGGGGAGCGAACAGGAUUAGAUACCCUGGUAGUCCACGCCGUAAACGAUGAGUGCUAGGUGUUGGAUCCUUUCCGGGAUUCAGUGCCGCAGCUAACGCAUUAAGCACUCCGCCUGGGGAGUACGACCGCAAGGUUGAAACUCAAAGGAAUUGACGGGGGCCCGCACAAGCGGUGGAGCAUGUGGUUUAAUUCGAAGCAACGCGAAGAACCUUACCAGGUCUUGACAUCCCGAUGCUAUUUCUAGAGAUAGAAAGUUACUUCGGUACAUCGGUGACAGGUGGUGCAUGGUUGUCGUCAGCUCGUGUCGUGAGAUGUUGGGUUAAGUCCCGCAACGAGCGCAACCCCUAUUGUUAGUUGCCAUCAUUCAGUUGGGCACUCUAGCGAGACUGCCGGUAAUAAACCGGAGGAAGGUGGGGAUGACGUCAAAUCAUCAUGCCCCUUAUGACCUGGGCUACACACGUGCUACAAUGGUUGGUACAACGAGUUGCGAGUCGGUGACGGCAAGCUAAUCUCUUAAAGCCAAUCUCAGUUCGGAUUGUAGGCUGCAACUCGCCUACAUGAAGUCGGAAUCGCUAGUAAUCGCGGAUCAGCACGCCGCGGUGAAUACGUUCCCGGGCCUUGUACACACCGCCCGUCACACCACGAGAGUUUGUAACACCCGAAGUCGGUGAGGUAACCUUUUGGAGCCAGCCGCCUAAGGUGGGAUAGAUGAUUGGGGUGAAGUCAUA
This 1465-nucleotide ribosomal RNA is filed under the name uncultured organism. Its description in RNAcentral is "SSU rRNA". It matches the Rfam family "Bacterial small subunit ribosomal RNA". The record is from RNAcentral.